CCUACGGGAGGCAGCAGUGGGGAAUAUUGGGCAAUGGGCGCAAGCCUGACCCAGCAACGCCGCGUGAAGGAAGAAGGCUUUCGGGUUGUAAACUUCUUUUCUCAGGGACGAAGAAAGUGACGGUACCUGAGGAAUAAGCCACGGCUAAAUACGUGCCAGCAGCCGCGGUAAUACGUAGGUGGCAAGCUUUAUCCGGAUUUAUGGGGUGUAAAGGGCGUGUAGGCGGGAGCGCAAGUCAGAUGUGAAAACUCAGGGCUCAACCCUGAGCCUGCAUUUGAAACGGUGUUUCUUGAGUGCUGGGGAGGCAAUCGGAAUUCCGUGUGUAGCGGUGAAAUGCGUAGAUAUACGGAGGAACACCAGUGGCGAAGGCGGAUUGCUGGACAGUAACUGACGCUGAGGCGCGAAAGCGUGGGGAGCAAACAGGAUUAGAUACCCGGGUAGUC
Molecule: ribosomal RNA, 443 nt
Filed under: uncultured bacterium
Lineage: Bacteria
Description: partial 16S ribosomal RNA
Rfam family: Bacterial small subunit ribosomal RNA
Source: RNAcentral